This is an RNA transcript of Cebus imitator (Panamanian white-faced capuchin), 2268 nucleotides long. It is a transcript of the gene named protein arginine N-methyltransferase 6-like, with no coding region annotated. Lineage: Eukaryota; Metazoa; Chordata; Mammalia; Primates; Cebidae. The record is from RefSeq and is a predicted model, not a curated record. The transcript has a single exon.
AGCUUCAGCGGUCGGAGUAGCUGGGAUUACAGGCACACACCACUACACCUGGAUAAUUUUUAUAUUCGGAUCCAGAUUUCUAAAUAUCUUUCUCCAGUUAAAAAAAAAACUAUAUAGGAAGCCGGAGCGGCCAAGAUGUCGCAGCCCAAGAAAAGAAAGCUUGAGUGGGGGGCGGAGGGGAGCGGGGGGCGGCGAAGGAGGGGAGGGAACUGAAGAGGAAGACGGUGCGGAGCGGGAGGCGGCCCUGGAGCGACCGGGGAGGGCUAAGCCGGAGCGGGACCAGCUGUACUACGAGUGCUACUCGGACGUUUGCGUCCACGAGGAGAUGAUCGCAGACCGCGUCCGCGAUCAUCUACCGACCGAUGCCUACUGCCUGGGCAUCCUGCGGAACUGCGCAGCACUGCGAGGCAAAACGGUACUGGACGUGGGCGCGAACACCGGCACUCUGAGCAUCUUGUGCCCCCAGGCCGGCGCCCGCCGCGUAAAGGCCAGCGCCAUCUGGCAACAGGCCCGGGAGGUGGUGCCCUUCCACGGGCUGGAGGACCGGGUGCACGUCCUGCCGGGCCCGGUGGAGACUGGAGUUGCCGGAGCAGGUGGCGGCCAUCGUGAGCGAGUGGAUGGGCUACGGACUCCUGCACGAGUCCCUGCUGAGCCCCGUCCUCCACGCGCGAACCAAGUGGCUGAAGGAAGACGGCCUUCUCCUGCGGCCUCCGCCGAGCUCUUCAUGGCCCCUGUCAGCGACCAGAUGCUGGAAUGGCGCCUGGGCUUCUGCAGCUUGGAGAAGCAGCACUGUGGUGCGGACGUGAGCUGCCUGCAGGGCUUCGCCACGCGCUGCCUCCUGGGCCUCUCGGAGAUCGUGGUGCAGGGACGGUCUGGCGAGGACUUGCCGGCCCGGCCGCCGCGCUUUGCUCAGCUAGAGCUCUCCCGGCGCGGGCCUGGCUCGGGAGCUGGAGCGCGGAGUGGGCGGGCGCCUCCGCUGCAGCUGCUAUGGCUGGGCGCCCAGGCUCGGCUUUGCCAUCUGGUUCCAGGUGACCGUCCCUGGAGGGGAGUCGGGAAACCCCCGGUCCUCCUCGCCUUUUCACCUGGUCACGCACUGGAAACAGGCGCUCCUCUACCUGAACGAGCCGGUGCAAGUGGAGCAAGACACGGACGUUUCAGGAGAGAUCACGCUGCUGCCUUCCCGGGACAACCCCCGUCGCCUGCACGUGCUGCUGCGCUACAAAGUGGGAGGCCAGGAGGAGAAGACCAAAGACUUUCCCGUGGAGGACUGAGCGUUGCCUUUUCUCCCAGCCACCUCCCAAGGCAGAGAAAGGGAGACCUCACUUGCAAACCGGGGAAAUAUGUGCCUCCCUUUUCCCUCGUAGCCUCUGGGGAGGGAGAGUGACUUCAUCCUUUGUAGAGAUUCUUCUGGUGAUGUUUAUUUAGAAAGUGAUCCCCUUCGACAACCAAUACACCGUGCUUAGUAUUGAGCUUUUAAGCCUCAAAAUCCUGUAGUACCAAGCACUUGUAUUUCCUUAUAUUUUGUCUCGCAGGAGAUGGAAAGGGGAAGAACACGGAUGAAAAUGUCAGUUUUUGAAGGUUCAUGCACAUCCCUGACACUUCACACCUUAUCUAAGUUUGAAGCUGGAGAGAAAGGGUUCAUUUAGACUUCGUAAAUUUCCAGUACGACUUUAGUAUCUCUCCAGAGCCUAGCCCAAGGGCUUAUUCAUAAUGAUGGGUAAAUUAUUUAAACUCACUUAAUUAAAGAAAAUAUUCUCCCAGCUAGAAAAAUGUACUCAUUCUCAUUUAAACGCUCUCAUUUGGGGGAUUAUGUGAGUUGGCCUACUUAAAACUAGUGAAAGUUCCGAUUUUUUGUCGUCGUUGUUGUCGUUGUUGUUGUUUUUUCUGUUUCACUCGGCCAAAUGUGAAAUUUGUGAGAUUAGGAAAAUCAGUUGUAAUGAAGUGUAGAUCAUAUUAUCAAAUUUAUUUCACUCAUGUGUCCCUCCUUAUCCUUGUAGCAAAUAAAGCACUGACAUUCUCACAUUUUGUAGAUGAAGAAGUCUUGUGCGCUGAGUUAUAAUGCUUUUGCCUUUUUAAUAUUGUCAGUUCUUAAGUGUUACAAUCCCUUCAGAAUAUAACUUCAGGACAAUUCAAACUAUGCUUAAUGUAUGGUUUUUGAGCUGCUGUAUGCUAAGAAAAUAGGUGUGAAAAACUGGUGUUCUGAAAGAGCCUAACGUUUAUUGUAAUUCUGAGUUUUCUGCCUUUUUAUUCAUUGCAUAUUAGAGUAUU